CGGGGCAGCUCGGGCCUCGGGGCGUCUGCUGAGUGGGGUCAGAGCGUGGGUCCUGAGAUGCAUCAGUAAAAGUUUUCUGACGCAAUGUAUGAUCCUACAAAUAAGGAAACGCCAGAUAUAGUGCCGGAGUCUGCAGAUGAACUCACUCCUGCGUUGGGACUGCCGGGCCUGCUGGCCGCCCGGGCUGGUACCUUUCUGUCGCCGGAGGUCGGGCCUGUGGCGCUCUUCUCGCAGGCCUCAGACGCCAGUACCCACUUCUCUCCCGACGUUACCGCGGCCCCGGCCCCACACCAGGCGGAGAAGGCCGCCACCGCGACCUCCCAGUUACUCUUCUCACCAGGAGAGGAGGUGGUGCACUUGGGGCGCCUCCCGAGCUACGCUGACACGCCGAACCAUAUGGCCGUGGAGCGGUGUAUCGCUCUGAUGAGCCGGUCACCUACGGCUGCUAGUGGUCCGAGUCCGGCAGUCAGUCCGCGCCCGGCGCCCUCCGCGCCCUCCAGCUGUCAGCAGUUGGACCGGACCCCUUCGGUAGCCACCAGCCCAGGUCCGGCAGCGGCCGCCAGCCCAGGGCCGCCUGUCCCCGCGCUCCGGUGGCCGGCAGGGUCAUACGGACUCGACUCGGAUGGUGCGGAAUCGGACGGAGGCAGUCUCACCGAUUCUGUCAAACCCGAUCAGACUGCCGCAUAUACCUCGGGCGGCAGCUAUGGACUCUCUCAAACAGCACAGGCUCAGUACUCGGAGGGAAGCUAUUCGGACCGGGGGCUUCCAUCUGAGAUGCCGGACGCUCGCCGACCUCCACCGGCAGCCGUCGAGUACAGAGGACGGCGGGGACGUGGAGGCAGAGGACAGACGCGAUCCAAGCAGAGAUCUGGCGACAAAACCAGCGUCAGAGAGCGCCAGUCCAACCGGGGGCGGCGGGACGACCGGGAAGACUCUGCCUCUGACACUCGCCACCAGCUGUCGCUACUUUCGCGGCUCAGGCAGACCCUGAACAGACUGCAGAUUCAGCUCGAUGAUGAUGGUGAAAGCAUCACCAUGGCCAAGCUGCGAGAGCUCAAGGUGCGGUCAAGCAAGUCAGUCUGUUUAUAGCCCCACACCAAAUGUUAAAGCCGCGUUCGUCCGUGCUCAGCAGCGCUGGAGUCCCUGACAAACGGAUAUAUUACCAAGGGGGUCGCGGAGUCGAGCUGCCAGCGUGACUCAGAGGAAGUGGACGGGAAGGAGGACCGGUCGAGCGCGCUCCGCCAGCGCUCCCUCCUGCUCCGUCUGCGUACCGUGCGGCUGGUGGACGACUGUGAGCUGGCACCUCUCACCUGUCCCGGCUGGGAUCGUCCCGAAACGCUGCUGGAUGCUGGCGAUGAAUGGUGGAACUAACCAGUGACCGCCGCCCUGGGCUGCUGGUCUGUGGCCAAACUCUAACGGUUAGAACGAACGGCCAAACUCCAGUCCUAUAUCAGAUGGCCAGGGUCAGAUCUGUUCAGGACGUGCGUUAUCGGUUAAUGUAUUCGAUGAGUGUUGCCAAAAGCAUUGGCUCAAACUUAAGUUGUUAUAACUAGUGUUUUACAUGUUAUGGCUGUUUUAUUCUUGAUACCUGCUAUGUUGUGUUGAUACCGCGUUAUUUCUCAUCGUUAAUUAUGAUGUAACCUGAACAUUUAUAAUUUGAUCAUUACUGGUUGGAAAUAUAAUUUAGUUUUGUUUAUA
This 1698-nucleotide unclassified non-coding RNA is filed under the name Amphibalanus amphitrite. RNAcentral describes it as "transcription initiation factor TFIID subunit 4-like, transcript variant X7". The record is from RNAcentral. Lineage: Eukaryota; Metazoa; Arthropoda; Thecostraca; Balanomorpha; Balanidae.